This 253-nucleotide long non-coding RNA is filed under the name Lathyrus oleraceus (garden pea). Its description in RNAcentral is "Pisum sativum (pea) long non-coding RNA (PSAT_LNC037945)". The record is from RNAcentral. Lineage: Eukaryota; Viridiplantae; Streptophyta; Magnoliopsida; Fabales; Fabaceae.
UUAGAAGUCAAGAAACAAAUAAAAUAUUUUUGGUAUUUUUCAAAUAUUAAAAUAAAACUUGAAUUAAAAUAAUAAAGAAAGGUCAAACUUCAAACUCACUUCAAAUCAACCUUGAAAAGUCCAAGUGAAUUAUCCCAAGUUCAACAAGGUCAAACAAAGUUUGACAAAAAUUUCAGCAUUUUUAGAAGUCAGAAACUAUUUUAAAUCAAUUAAAAAUGCAUAAAAAUAACCUAAUUGAACUAAAAUCUCAAAU